This 427-nucleotide ribosomal RNA is filed under the name uncultured beta proteobacterium. RNAcentral's name for it is "bacterial SSU rRNA". It matches the Rfam family "Bacterial small subunit ribosomal RNA", at positions 355 to 774 of the family's 1533-position model. The record is from RNAcentral. Lineage: Bacteria; Pseudomonadati; Pseudomonadota; Betaproteobacteria.
UGGGGAAUUUUGGACAAUGGGCGAAAGCCUGAUCCAGCCAUGCCGCGUGAGUGAAGAAGGCCUUCGGGUUGUAAAGCUCUUUUAGUCGGAAAGAAAGAGUUGCAAUGAAUAAUUGUGAUUUAUGACGGUACCGACAGAAAAAGCACCGGCUAACUACGUGCCAGCAGCCGCGGUAAUACGUAGGGUGCGGGCGUUAAUCGGAAUUACUGGGCGUAAAGGGUGCGCAGGCGGUCUUGCAAGUCAGAUGUGAAAGCCCCGGGCUUAACCUGGGAAUUGCGUUUGAAACUACAAGGCUAGAGUGCAGCAGAGGGGAGUGGAAUUCCAUGUGUAGCAGUGAAAUGCGUAGAGAUGUGGAAGAACACCGAUGGCGAAGGCAGCUCCCUGGGUUGACACUGACGCUCAUGCACGAAAGCGUGGGGAGCAAACA